Triticum urartu is the source of this 89-nucleotide non-coding RNA. Lineage: Eukaryota; Viridiplantae; Streptophyta; Magnoliopsida; Poales; Poaceae. The record is from Rfam.
UUGACAGAAGAGAGUGAGCACCCAUGGUGUUUCCUUAGCAUCAAGGGGCAUGCCAGGGAGCUAUGCGUGCUCACUGCUCUAUCUGUCAG